Molecule: long non-coding RNA, 867 nt
Filed under: Gossypium barbadense (sea-island cotton)
Lineage: Eukaryota; Viridiplantae; Streptophyta; Magnoliopsida; Malvales; Malvaceae
Description: long non-coding RNA (GBAR_LNC019406)
Source: RNAcentral
AAGCAUUAGAUAAUUUGUCACUAAUAAAACUUUUGAAUUAGCCACACAAACGAAUCAAAUAAAAAUAAAAAUGUCUCCCAAUAAGUUUCCUAACAUUUUUUUUAGUUCUUGACACUAAUUGUUAAGUGACAUUGUAGGGCCCAAUUUUUGCCCGGCCCGUUAAAGAAAUAAAGCCCAAACAAUUACAAGCCUAAAAACAUUAAAAUUUCAGAAACCCUAACAGCAUUUGCCCGCAGCCGCCGCACAUCCCAACAGCAGACCCGCGCACGUCGCGCACGUUCGCCUCCGUACCUGCAGCAACAAGCAGAAACAAACAGCAACAAAAUAAUAGGAAUAACAGAAUAGAUAUAGAUCUGAUUUUGGUUGUUUUUCUUUCAGAUUUUCGGCUAUAUAAGGUUGAUUUAAAUUUGUAAAAGGAAAAAAAGGGGGAGAGAAAAAAUACAAAGAAGGGACUGAUACGAAAUAGAUACAGAAAUUUUUCGAAUAUAUAAGGUGUUUUUUCCAUUUUUCAUCUUUCUUAGUUUCGUUUUGUUAUUUUUUUUUCUUUUAGCUUUUUUAUUUUAUUUUUCAUUUAAAAUAUAAAGAAAGGAGGAAAAGACUUACCUGGACGCCGGAGUUGUCGAGCCGAUGUCUUCUUCGGCGAAAUCGGGGCAUGGGGCACUAGGCUCGAACAACGGCGCAAGGAGGGAGGGGGUUAAAAAAACCCUAGUAGACCACUGUUUUUUAACAAAAAAAAACAAGCAGAAUACUUUUUUUUAGGGUUUUGACUAACUUAAAGAAGAAACGAAAACGGUGCCGUUUUGAUGGCCAGACCCGCGCGGUGACCCGAACCGGAGCGGAGGAUCCGCGCGUUCUGGCCGAAUGGGA